GCCUCCGUAGCUCAGUGGAUAGAGCACCGGACUUCUAAUCCGUUGGUCGCUGGUUCGAAUCCAGUCGGGGGCACCA
This 76-nucleotide transfer RNA is filed under the name Actinobaculum suis. RNAcentral describes it as "tRNA-Arg". It matches the Rfam family "tRNA". From Rfam's summary of the family: Transfer RNA (tRNA) molecules are approximately 80 nucleotides in length. Their secondary structure includes four short double-helical elements and three loops (D, anti-codon, and T loops). Lineage: Bacteria; Bacillati; Actinomycetota; Actinomycetes; Actinomycetales; Actinomycetaceae. The record is from RNAcentral.